This 23-nucleotide non-coding RNA is filed under the name Rattus norvegicus (Norway rat). Lineage: Eukaryota; Metazoa; Chordata; Mammalia; Rodentia; Muridae. The record is from RNAcentral.
UACACGUAUUACGAUCUCCUGGC